Molecule: transfer RNA, 56 nt
Filed under: Cavia porcellus (domestic guinea pig)
Lineage: Eukaryota; Metazoa; Chordata; Mammalia; Rodentia; Caviidae
Source: Rfam by way of RNAcentral
CGGGAUAUAGCUCAGUGGUACAGCACCUGCCUGGCAGGCAGGUGUUCAUUUCUCGG